AAAUAUAUGGCUGAUUAAAGUUAUGGUCUCUUAAACCACUUAAUUUCAAUAUAGUUA
RNAcentral lists this transfer RNA (57 nucleotides) under Scolopendra dehaani. RNAcentral describes it as "tRNA-Lys". Lineage: Eukaryota; Metazoa; Arthropoda; Chilopoda; Scolopendromorpha; Scolopendridae. The record is from RNAcentral.